This 173-nucleotide ribosomal RNA is filed under the name uncultured bacterium. Its description in RNAcentral is "partial 16S ribosomal RNA". It matches the Rfam family "Bacterial small subunit ribosomal RNA", at positions 1329 to 1500 of the family's 1533-position model. The record is from RNAcentral.
GAAUUGCUAGUAAUCGCCAGAUCAGCAUGCUGCGGUGAAUACGUUCCCGGGCCUUGUACACACCGCCCGUCACACCAUGGGAGUCGGUAACACCCGAAGUCGGUAGUCUAACCGAAAGGAGGACGCCGCCGAAGGUGGGAUUGAUGACUGGGGUGAAGUCGUAACAAGGUAUC